Molecule: long non-coding RNA, 3999 nt
Filed under: Salmo salar (Atlantic salmon)
Lineage: Eukaryota; Metazoa; Chordata; Actinopteri; Salmoniformes; Salmonidae
Description: lncRNA (ENSSSAG00000115017.1)
Source: RNAcentral
ACCGAAAACCCAGCGUUUCCUUCAACUCUGAGUCAACUAACUCUGAGUUUUCACUAAACCCGCUUUCUAAAACAGGGCCCUGUUCUCACACUGCAAGAGCAGGGUGUCUGCGGAAAGCUCAGUAUCUUGAUUAUUGAUCAGUGCCUUCAAAUCUUUGGUGUGACUUACUAUCAUAUAUGGGCAUACAAAUUUAUAGGGGAAGGCUGACCCAAUGACCUCAUUUCAAGAUGGCUGCUACCUACAUUCCGGUUAGAGUUGUAAGGCAUAAACGAAAUAAACAUGGAAUACGUUGAUAAACACCGAAAGCUGUGACUCCAAACUUCUCCAAACUUCAAACAUCUUAUGAGGUAAUCUUCGAUUUGGUCUGUGUUUGAGCUAUAGCUACAUGGGGUGUGUGAAAUGAAUCAUUACGUUGGUAGGAACCAAUCGAGUUGCCAAUGUUAUCUGAUGAUGUAUGACUUAAUGGCAACAUCGAAUGUCCAUCGAGUGACUAUAUCUUUGCGAAUCAAAAAUAUGAUGUUGCCUGCUUAUGCGCUGUAGGCAUCCAUUACACAGGAGAUUGGCUACUAUGGCACCUUGCCAGUCUUGUAGCCAAUUAGAUAAGCUUUCCAGGUAUAUGCAUUUGACCAGGGUGGGACAAAGCAAGGCCUAGAACCUUUUAUGUGUAAUACGAACUAUUGCUACCUGGAUCAGAGACGAGACGCCCCCUGAGCACACUACAUUACAAUGUAAACAGAUUUCAAAGCUUUAAUUUCAUCGCUUUCACAUAAACGAAGGCUUCUCAAGGAGGAGAAAAACUAAGAAUAUCGAACAGGAACGUAAAAAGAAGAUGGCUAUGAACAAGUAUACCGACAUAGAAUGAUUCACUUUCAGAUCUAGCGGAGGAUGCAGAGGAUUUGGAUGAUGACGUUUGGGAGCCACCCCUCCCCAGCAAGCGCCCCCGCCGGUCAAGGUCUUCACCCCCCACUGCUGUGUCAAUCACCCCAUCUGAUGGCUCUACAUCCACCACUUGACAAAGACCCCACUCCCCUUCAAACACCCCCACUGCAGUUUCAAUCACCCAGUCUGACGUUCUACAUCCACUUCUCUGCAAAGACCCCACUCCCCUUCAAACACCCCCACUGCAAUUUCAAUCACCCAGUCUGACGUUCUACAUCCACUACUCCGCAAAGACCCCACUCCUCUUCAACCACCCCCACUGCAGGCCCUGGGACCACUCCCCUCUCUGCAAGUUCAUCUGGAGGUGUGGGGGCAGGGAGGAGAUCUAGGCCUCAACAGAGAAAGGGGAGAGAAAGAGGCAGUGGAAGCUGCACAACAGAGGGAGAUGAAACUGAGGACAGGUGGCAUACGGUCCUUCAAUCAAUCACAUUUAUGUAUAAAGCCCUUUGAAGAUGAUGAGGAGCCAGAACAAACGACCUGAAGGCCCACAGUUGGUUAGUGAUGAAACAUACACCCCCUUACAGCUGUUUCAGCCCUGCUUUACCACCUCUGUACUGGAAACACUAAUUAGUUAUACCAACACGUAUGGGAACAAGAAGCAGCAGGAGGGAAGGAAGAUGUCCUGGAAACCUGUCACCAUGGGUGACAUGCUCAACUACGUUUUCUUGGUGAUUUACAUAGGACUGGUAAAGGUAUCAAGACUAGUUGACAACUGGAGCAAGUCCCCACUCUAUCGGUUCGAGUUCCCCACCUCCAUCAUGAGUGAAAACUGAUUAUUGGCCAUCAACCAUACUCUUCACAUGAGUGACCCACAAAAGGAUCAGGAGAAUGACCAGAAGAAGGGGUCUGCAGGGUAUGAUCGUCUUGCAAGAGUCAAGCCCCUUUAUAAUGACAUGGUGGAGGCAUGCAAAACUUACUACCAGCCUGCUCAAAAUCGAUCUAUAGAUGAGCGCAUGGUUGCCUCAAAGGCUUGAAUUGGCUUGAAGCAAUAUUUGAAAAAUAAGCCCACCAAAUGGGGCUACAAGCUCUUUGUGCUAGCCAAUUCAGCCUCUGCCUACAUGUGGACAUUUUUUAAUCUAUGAAGGCAAGGCGAUCACACCCACUGGGAAGGGCUUUAGUUAUGACUCUGUCAUGCAGCUGAUGGACUUCCCCUUACUUGGCAGUGGGUAUAAGCUCUUUGUGGACAAUUUUUUACUAGUCCCAUGCUUUUCAUAGACCUCUUGAAAAAUAAAAUAGCAGCUUUUGAGCCCAUUCAUCCUAACAGAAUCAGUGGAGAGUGGGACCAUACGUUGAAUCAGGACUAACAAGCUGAUUUUUGUGAAAUGGAAGGACACUAGGGAAGUGACCAUGCUCACCACACAGCAUAAGGCAUUCAAUAAUGAUCAUAAUUCAAGGAGGGUGAAAAAUGCCAAUGGGGCAUGGGUGAGGAAGAAUGUCCCCGUUUCUGUGAAGGACAAUAAUGCCAGCAUGGCGGCGUCGACCUCUCUGAUGCUCUGAUAGGCUACUACCAGGUUCUCCACAAGACCAGGAAGUGGUAUAAGACGUUUUUACCACUUCGUCGACAUUGCUACAGUAAAUGCUUUCAUUCUCCAGAAGCAGAUGGCCAAAGCAAAAGGUCAAAUCCCUCUCUCCCAGUUGGCCUUUCGAGAUCAGCUAGUGUCGGAAAUGGCUGAAAUGGGGUCCCAAAACAACCUCCCAGUCAUCACAAGACCCCCCACUCAAGGUGAGCGCCACUAUCCAACGCACAUGGCAAAAGACAAAAGGAAGAAUUGCAAGCAUUGCACAAAGCACAGGGGGAAAUUCCAGACCUCCAGACCUUCUGUCUGAAAUGCCAGUUUGCUUUUUGUUUCAUGGCAGACAGGGACUGCUUCAAAGACUAUCAUGACAUGCACAAGCUAUGUUGAAAGUGAAAUCUAAUCAUCUACACCUGGGAGGUAAAAUGAACACGAAUACCUUUUGUAAAUAGUUCAGCUUAUUUCUAUUUUUGCACUUUUUUUUGUGAAGGACACGUAUGUAACCAAAUAUAUUUUUUUAUGUACAUAUGUUGCUUUUAUGUUGUUUUUGUAAACAGUUAAUUUGUAUGUGGGACCAAUUCAUUGGAUAUGUCUAGGCUAAACGUUCAGGCACUUUGAGAGGUUGAAAAAACACAUAGAAAAAACACAUAGAUAUCCCCUGUCUGUCCCCCGACACCACCACAAUGUUUGAGUGAGGUUGGUGUUGAAGAAAUUUAGUUUUUAUGAUGAACAAUAACUUUUAGGCACAUCCAGUGUGCAAAAACAGUCCAAUUACCACAUUUGGACACUUUGGAGAGGUUGAAGGUACACUUGAAUGUACGCUGGAUACACCAAAACACCACCGCAAUGUUUGAAUGAGGUUGAAAUGGUAGAAAUUGUGUUUUUACACUGAACAAAUGGCGUUUAGGGAUUGCAAAUAUGUAAUAGCACUGGAAUUAUCUAAUUUACAGACACAUGCCACUUUGGAGAGGUUUAGGGACACUUGGAAGCAUCCCGUGACCACACUUACUAAAGCAUCUGCCAAUUUCUAGUUGUUAGGUCUAUCAAUCACUUUUUUUUUCUGGUAUUGUUCACAUAUUGUGGAAGCAAUAUGAUGUGUUUCCAGCUCUAGACAUCAAUAAUUCACUUAUAGCUUGUCAAUGAAAGACAAAUAAAAAAACAGUUAUUUUGUGUAUGCUUGAUAUUGUGAAUUCUGAACUAUGUAACUCCGAUCUAUCUUCUGAUGACUUCCUCAUAAUUUCUCAGAUGUUUUCUUUCCAACUAUACCAAGUUUUUGCAUGUCAGAAUCAUGUAAUAAUGCAUGAAUAUCAGUUACUUUUGGGUAUGUCCGUUUAGGUGGAAAUCUACAUUUUGCAAUUACAUUUAAGAGGUUCUAAAUGCUCAGAUGGUAUCUAAUUGGUCACUUGAGUUCUAUUUUUCUGAGAAAGACUUUUAUUUUAUUGUAAAAAAGAAAGUCUUUACAAAGAAUGUCUAUUUUAGUUGCAUUUACAGUGCAUUCAGAAAGUAUUCAGACCCCUUGACUUUUCCACAUUUUGUUACAUUACAG